This 464-nucleotide ribosomal RNA is filed under the name uncultured bacterium. RNAcentral's name for it is "partial 16S ribosomal RNA". It matches the Rfam family "Bacterial small subunit ribosomal RNA", at positions 28 to 506 of the family's 1533-position model. The record is from RNAcentral.
GAUGAACGCUGGCGGCGUGCUUAGCACAUGCAAGUCGAACGGAAAGGCUCCUGCUUGCAGGGGUACUCGAGUGGCGAACGGGUGAGUAACACGUGGGUGAUCUGCCCUGCACUUCGGGAUAAGCCUGGGAAACUGGGUCUAAUACCGGAUAGGACGAUGGUUUGGAUGCCAUUGUGGAAAGUUUUUCGGUGUGGGAUGAGCUCGCGGCCUAUCAGCUUGUUGGUGGGGUAAUGGCCUACCAAGGCGUCGACGGGUAGCCGGCCUGAGAGGGUGUACGGCCACAUUGGGAAUGGGAUACGGCCCAGACUCCUCCGGGGGGCAGCGGGGGGGAAUAUUGACAAAGGGGCGCAAGCCGGAUGCAGGGACGCCGGGGGGGGGAUGACGGCCUUCGGGUUGUAAACUCCUUUCGCUGGGGACGAAGCGCAAGUGACGGUACCUGGAGAAAAAACACCGGCUAACUACGU